RNAcentral lists this ribosomal RNA (422 nucleotides) under Adenomera sp. L ABGD cluster 61. RNAcentral describes it as "partial large subunit ribosomal RNA". It matches the Rfam family "Bacterial large subunit ribosomal RNA", at positions 1835 to 2447 of the family's 2925-position model. The record is from RNAcentral. Lineage: Eukaryota; Metazoa; Chordata; Amphibia; Anura; Leptodactylidae.
CUUGCCUCAUAUAAGAGGUCCAGCCUGCCCAGUGACAUUGUUCAACGGCCGCGGUAUCCUAACCGUGCGAAGGUAGCGUAAUCACUUGUUCUUUAAAUGAGGACUAGUAUGAAAGGCACCACGAGAGUCAUACUGUCUCCUCUCUCUAAUCAGUGAAACUAAUCUCCCCGUGAAGAAGCGGGGAUAAAAGUAUAAGACGAGAAGACCCUAUGGAGCUUAAAACAAAUAACACCUGCCCCCUUACCCCCCAAAUUUCAGAAAAAAUUUUUAUUUUUGGCAUCAUGAUUAUUAGUUUUUGGUUGGGGUGACCACGGAACAAAAAACAACUUCCGUAAUGAAAGACCCUCCACACUUAGUUAAGAGCUACAACUCUACGCAUCAACAAAUUGACAUUAAUUGACCCAACAUGUUGACCAAUGAAC